Molecule: long non-coding RNA, 712 nt
Filed under: Homo sapiens (human)
Lineage: Eukaryota; Metazoa; Chordata; Mammalia; Primates; Hominidae
Description: non-protein coding lnc-UBL3-5:1
Source: RNAcentral
CCUGACACUACCCGUGUGCCCACUGAGGACCAACAAGGCCAGGUGUCCCAGCACUACAAGCAACACACAGGCGGCCUGAAGGAAGCCAGGGCAAAUAGUUGUCCAUGACAACACUGGGAUGGGAAGUGCCCGGGAAGAGAAAGCAACCAGCAGAGGAGCACCUUAGGGGCCAAGAGAGAAAGAAGCAGGAAUGUAGACACUAAAUGGAAAUAAUGAAGCCCAAACUAUUAAAGUAUUAACUGAAAUUCAGAGUUUUCAUCUCAAUUUUCUCUAGAGCAUCUGGCAACCAGAUGUAAAUGCAACAUGAAUCCCUCCUAACCAACAAGUAAUUGUUCCAUAAGGCUCAAUAAUAAUACAUUUAUUUAUAACUAAAUAAUUUUAUUACUAAAUAUAUUUAAUUUAUAACUAAAUAUAUUAAUUUAAUUUAUAGAUGUAUUUAAUAUAAAUAUUUCACUAUAUAAAUGCUUUUUAUUAUAUAUUACAAAUACAUUUUAUCUGUUUUACAAAUAAUAUAUAAUGUUUAUAUUAUAUAUAAUUUUUAUAUAUUAUAGAUAUAAUUUUUUAUAUUUAUGUUUUUAUAUCUAUAUUAUAUAAUGUCACUUAUAUAGUGUCAUAUACAAUAUAUGUUUUAUAUAACAUAUAAUGUCUUAGAUAUAUAACAUAUAUGCAAUGUCUCAUAUAUAUAUAUAUAUAUAUAUAUAUAUAUAUAUAU